AUACGGGGGGUGCAAGCGUUAUUCGGAUUUAUUGGGCGUAAAGAGCGCGUAGGCGGCUUGGUAAGUCAGAUGUGAAAGCCCGGGGCUCAACCCCGGAAGUGCAUUUGAAACUAUCAGGCUUGAGUAUGGGAGAGGGAAGUGGAAUUCCUGGUGUAGAGGUGAAAUUCGUAGAUAUCAGGAGGAACACCGGUGGCGAAGGCGACUUCCUGGACCAAUACUGACGCUGAGGCGCGAAGGCGUGGGGACCAAACAGGAUUAGAAACCCUAGUAGUCC
This 274-nucleotide ribosomal RNA is filed under the name uncultured bacterium. RNAcentral's name for it is "partial 16S ribosomal RNA". It matches the Rfam family "Bacterial small subunit ribosomal RNA", at positions 523 to 796 of the family's 1533-position model. The record is from RNAcentral.